AGCAGGAUUAGAUACCCUGGUAGUCCAUGCCGUAAACGAUGUCUACUAGCCGUUGGGGCCUUUGAGGCUUUAGUGGCGCAGCUAACGCGAUAAGUAGACCGCCUGGGGAGUACGGUCGCAAGACUAAAACUCAAAUGAAUUGACGGGGGCCCGCACAAGCGGUGGAGCAUGUGGUUUAAUUCGAUGCUACGCGAAAAACCUUACCUACCCUUGACAUCCUCGAAAUCCUGCAGAGAUGCGGGAGUGCCUUCGGGAAUCGAGAGACAGGUGCUGCAUGGCUGUCGUCAGUUCGUGUCGUGAGAUGUUGGGUUAAGUCCCGUAACGAGCGCAACACUUGUCCUUAGUUGCCAGCACACUAUGGUGGGCACUCUAAGGAGACUGCCGGUGAUAAACCGGAGGAAGGCGGGGAUGACGUCAAGUCAUCAUGGCCCUUACGGGUAGGGCUACACACGUGCUACAAUGGGGAGUACAAAGGGUUGCCAAACCGUGAGGUGGAGCUAAUCCCAAAAAACUUUUCGUAGUCCGGAUUGAAGUCUGCAACUCGACUUCAUGAAGCUGAAAUCGCUAGUAAUCGCGAAUCAGAAUGUCGCGGUGAAUACGUUCUCGGGUCUUGUACACACCGCCCGUCACACCAUGGGAGUGACUUGUACCAGAAG
RNAcentral lists this ribosomal RNA (656 nucleotides) under uncultured bacterium. RNAcentral's name for it is "bacterial SSU rRNA". It matches the Rfam family "Bacterial small subunit ribosomal RNA", at positions 771 to 1426 of the family's 1533-position model. The record is from RNAcentral.